GCGAUGGUAAUUCAAUGGUAGAAUGUCUGCUUCCCAAGCAGAAUGCUGAGAGUUCGAUUCUCUUCCAUCGCU
RNAcentral lists this transfer RNA (72 nucleotides) under Desulfobacterales bacterium. Its description in RNAcentral is "tRNA-Gly". It matches the Rfam family "tRNA". Rfam says of the family: Transfer RNA (tRNA) molecules are approximately 80 nucleotides in length. Lineage: Bacteria; Pseudomonadati; Thermodesulfobacteriota; Desulfobacteria; Desulfobacterales. The record is from RNAcentral.